AACGAACGCUGGCGGCAUGCCUAACACAUGCAAGUCGAACGAAGCCUUCGGGCUUAGUGGCGCACGGGUGCGUAACGCGUGGGAACCUACCAUCAGGUUCGGAAUAACAGUUAGAAAUGACUGCUAAUACCGGAUAAUGUCUUCGGACCAAAGAUUUAUCGCCUUUUGAUGGGCCCGCGUUGGAUUAGCUAGUUGGUGGGGUAAAGGCCUACCAAGGCGACGAUCCAUAGCUGGUCUGAGAGGAUGAUCAGCCACACUGGGACUGGGACACGGCCCAGACUCCUACGGGAGGCAGCAGUGGGGAAUAUUGGACAAUGGGCGAAAGCCUGAUCCAGCAAUGCCGCGUGAGUGAUGAAGGCCUUAGGGUUGUAAAGCUCUUUUACCAGGGAUGAUAAUGACAGUACCUGGAGAAUAAGCUCCGGCUAACUCCGUGCCAGCAGCCGCGGUAAAGUCUGUACU
RNAcentral lists this ribosomal RNA (459 nucleotides) under uncultured bacterium. RNAcentral describes it as "bacterial SSU rRNA". It matches the Rfam family "Bacterial small subunit ribosomal RNA", at positions 29 to 531 of the family's 1533-position model. The record is from RNAcentral.